GACGAACGCUGGCGGCGUGCUUAACACAUGCAAGUCGAACGCUGAAGCUUGGUGCUUGCACUGGGUGGAUGAGUGGCACACGGGUGAGUAAUACGUGAGUAACCUGCCCUUGACUCUGGGAUAAGCCUGGGAAACUGGGUCUAAUACUGGAUACGACAUGUCACCGCAUGGUGGUGUGUGGAAAGGGUUUUACUGGUUUUGGAUGGGCUCACGGCCUAUCAGCUUGUUGGUGGGGUAAUGGCUCACCAAGGCGACGACGGGUAGCCGGCCUGAGAGGGUGACCGGCCACACUGGGACUGAGACACGGCCCAGACUCCUACGGGAGGCAGCAGUGGGGAAUAUUGCACAAUGGGCGGAAGCCUGAUGCAGCGACGCCGCGUGAGGGAUGACGGCCUUCGGGUUGUAAACCUCUUUCAGCACGGAAGAAGCGAAAGUGACGGUACGUGCAGAAGAAGCGCCGGCUAACUACGUG
RNAcentral lists this ribosomal RNA (472 nucleotides) under uncultured bacterium. Its description in RNAcentral is "partial 16S ribosomal RNA". It matches the Rfam family "Bacterial small subunit ribosomal RNA", at positions 28 to 507 of the family's 1533-position model. The record is from RNAcentral.